RNAcentral lists this microRNA precursor (89 nucleotides) under Canis lupus familiaris (dog). RNAcentral's name for it is "mir-8799 microRNA precursor family". It matches the Rfam family "mir-8799 microRNA precursor family". RNAcentral also lists the same sequence under 1 other name. The record is from Rfam by way of RNAcentral. Lineage: Eukaryota; Metazoa; Chordata; Mammalia; Carnivora; Canidae.
AGGGGAGGCCGGAUCCUGGGCUGUGUCCCGGCGCCCUUUGCCCCCGGGCCUGCGCUGCUGGAUUCGCGCUCCUGGCCACGCAGCCGCCU